This 789-nucleotide ribosomal RNA is filed under the name Tricholoma matsutake. Its description in RNAcentral is "eukaryotic LSU rRNA". The stretch from base 287 to 440 matches the Rfam family "5.8S ribosomal RNA". Lineage: Eukaryota; Fungi; Basidiomycota; Agaricomycetes; Agaricales; Tricholomataceae. The record is from RNAcentral.
CGGCUUAUAGCUUUCGUAGGUGACCUGAGGAGGAUCAUUAUUGAAUAAAGCUUGGUUAGGUUGUCGCUGGCUCUCCGGGGCAUGUGCACGCCUGACGCCAAUCUUUUCACCACCUGUGCACAUUUUGUAGGCUUGGAUAAAUAUGUCUCGAGGAAGCUCGGUUUGAGGACUGCCGUACUGCAAAAGCCAGGCUUUCCUUGUAUUUUUCCAGCCUAUGCAUUUUAUUAUACACUCGGUAUGUCAUGGAAUGUUAUUUGGUUGGCUUAAUUGCCAGUAAACCUUAUACAACUUUCAACAACGGAUCUCUUGGCUCUCGCAUCGAUGAAGAACGCAGCGAAAUGCGAUAAGUAAUGUGAAUUGCAGAAUUCAGUGAAUCAUCGAAUCUUUGAACGCACCUUGCGCUCCUUGGUAUUCCGAGGAGCAUGCCUGUUUGAGUGUCAUGAAAUUCUCAACCUUUUCAGGCUUAUUUGUUGAAUAGGCUUGGAUUUUGGGAGUUGUUGCAGGCUGCUCAGAAGUCUGCUCUCCUUAAAUGUAUUAGCGGGGCCCUUGUUGUCUAGCAUUUGGUGUGAUAAUUAUCUACGACCAUUGUGAACAAUGUAAUAGGUCGGCUUCUAAUCGUCUCGUAAAGAGACAAUCUCUGACAUUUUGACCUCAAAUCAGUGUAGGACUACCCGCUGAACUUAAGCAUAUCAAUAAGCGGAGGAAACAGAAACUAACAAGGAUUCCCCUAGUAACUGCGAGUGAAGCGGGAGAAGCUCAAAUUUAAAAUCUGAUGGUCUUUAUGGGAAA